UCCAGACUCGGAACUGCUGCCUGCCACCAUUUAAGGUCCGGUUCCCCUGGACGCUGAUACCGUGUGACAGAGAUUGGCGAGGUCCCGGCAGCGAUGUGACCACACUGACACCCGAGAACCCAGUAAACGGGUGCUAUUGGACACUGAUGAAUCGGCGCUCAGAGGAAUCGAACACUGGCCUAAUCAGUGCAUGGAUCCCCCUGCAGCAACAUUUUUCAGUUUUGUCUUGCCUUAUCAGGAUAUCCUUUAAGACAGAUAAAAGGGGCUUUCUCUGGUGGAUUCCUCAAAGAAGCAGAGAGGAAGAUCCACUGAGGAGGAGGAGAAGAUCGCUCCUGUCCCUUCAGGCUACGGGGGCAUGAAGAAUGGGGAGAUGGAGAUAUGAAGGGAUGUGUAGUUUGGCUGGAAGAUGAUUAUAUCAGGGCAGCAGAGGUUGAGGAAGAGCUUUGACUAAUUAUAGUCAUCUAUUAUAGACACAAUUAAAAUCUGGCUAAUUUACUGCAGCUCGACACUCACACACCCAGCUGAUUUAUACUGGAACUCAAUGACACCCAGAGGACAAUGUCACACAGACACACAAAAUUCAAACAUGCAUGUACUAAAUGUUCCUUCUGCUUGUUUCCUGUGCUAACAACAUUAAACACAUUGCACAUAAUAUAAUCUUAUAAAGACAUAUCUGUGCAAGAAGUAAAAACUAAAAAACAAAAACUGUUGUGUUACCAACUUAAACUACAUUUUGACUUGAGUGAUUUUCACUUAAUAUUCCAUAUCUCCUCAAGAAUAAUGUUAGAUCUUUUGAAUUGGGGUUCGGUGGAGAUGUUAUGAAAUAUAUAUUUCUUGUGUGUUGUAGAUCCUGUUUGAAGAAAUAAAAUUCAAUUCUGACUGGACUGACAAGUUAAGUGCAAGUGAUGCCAACUUAAAACUGUUCAUGAAAAAAAAAACAGUUUGGUAGUGCUUUUUGACUUUACUUCACUAUCAGUUACUCAUUACACAGUUAUUCAUAAAGAAAUUGUAUGUUGUGUCCGCUGUAAGUCCUACAGCUAGCUGCUGCUGCUCCUGUUCACACUUG
Austrofundulus limnaeus is the source of this 1066-nucleotide long non-coding RNA. RefSeq lists it as uncharacterized. Lineage: Eukaryota; Metazoa; Chordata; Actinopteri; Cyprinodontiformes; Rivulidae. The transcript has 3 exons. The record is from RefSeq and is a predicted model, not a curated record.